Molecule: long non-coding RNA, 1214 nt
Organism: Drosophila virilis
Lineage: Eukaryota; Metazoa; Arthropoda; Insecta; Diptera; Drosophilidae
Source: RefSeq, a predicted model, not a curated record
ACAGGAUAUUUAAAAAAUAAAAUGAAAGCAAGCAAAAAGGCUUUUCAUCUAAAUUCAAAUCAGCAAAAACGUUUAAUAACGAGUUUAAAAACUCAUCAGAGUAUUCAAACAAUAUCAAUGGGGUUGCCACGGGGAGUUUAUAGAUACAUUUUUGAUGGAACCGUUCAAAAAUAGCCGCCACUGCAGCAGAGACGCACUUUGCUGGCCAAAUAACAGCAGGACUAACGCAACAAUUCACGUGGCGCUUUCAAUGCAUUCGUCAAUCAACGUAGCAGAGGCGAGAGUCUACUCAUAAUUGAAUUCCGCCAGCACAGUUGGAGUCACAGUCGGGGAAGUGUUUUUGUAUUAUUGGAAUUCUCUUUGACGUGCGACGGGGACUAGAUCAAAAAUCCGCUUCGAGAAAGACACAAAAUUAUGUGUCCGAAAUGGCAAUUGGCAGCUAAAGCUAAAUUCAUUAUUUCGAUGCUUUAAUACUCUUUAGAAGCAAAUUGCUUAACCAUGUGGAAUUAUGCUCUCUCUACUUGUAUGAAACAGUAGGCAAGAAUGGGUGCAUGAAAGUUAAAAUAUUUGCCUUGAGGAUGGUUCUCCACAAUAAAGAUGAACCAAUAUUCGAUAACAAUAGAAAACCAGGCAUAUGAAUCGUAUCUUAGGCCGCGGCAUCAGUUCACACCGUGAAUAGAAACACUAUAAAAUUUUCCCAAAGUCUUUGAGCUUCGCUGUGCAUACACAGAAUUGCUAUGAAAGAAGCGUAUAACCGCAUUGCGAUACCCUUACGCAGGACAUCAAACGUGCCAUUCAUGCAGAGGGCGCGAAUAUUUUGGCUGCUGUAGAUAAUGCCUCAAUGAAUACUGUUUAAAAUUCAUUUCGUUUAUCAUCAAGUUUGGGGUUGUCUGGUGGCAUGGGUGAAAAGUACUGGAGUUUUGGGAGCUGUUGUUACCCGGGUUGGGUGCCUGAUGAGUUUUGGCUGCCGAUGAAACUUUUUAAAUGGAAUUUACGCUGCAAAAUCGCGUUUUCAACGAAAUGAGUUUUAAUUGCAAGUUUUCCUAAUGCAGGCAACGCACGCAGUCGUCGCUGUUGCGUGUAUUCACUUUGUUGUCAUCAUUGUUGCUGUUGUUGUUUUUUUGUUUAUUAUUGUUGUUGUUGUUGGUGCAAAUUCGUUAAAAUUUCUGCCACGUUUCCCCUUAAAUAGCACAAAAUUAUGUUCUUUAUGAUAA